GGAAGAGUGUCCGAGCGGCUUAAGGAGCACGCUUGGAAAGCGUGUGUGCGGGAAACCGUACCGUGGGUUCGAAUCCCACCUCUUCCG
This 87-nucleotide transfer RNA is filed under the name Chlamydiia bacterium. RNAcentral describes it as "tRNA-Ser". It matches the Rfam family "tRNA". Rfam says of the family: Transfer RNA (tRNA) molecules are approximately 80 nucleotides in length. Lineage: Bacteria; Pseudomonadati; Chlamydiota; Chlamydiia. The record is from RNAcentral.